Vespula pensylvanica (western yellowjacket) is the source of this 4601-nucleotide RNA transcript. It is a transcript of the gene named tyrosine-protein phosphatase corkscrew-like, with no coding region annotated. The transcript has 13 exons. NCBI's taxonomy places the organism in Eukaryota, Metazoa, Arthropoda, Insecta, Hymenoptera, Vespidae. The record is from RefSeq and is a predicted model, not a curated record.
UUCUAGUAUGCGGUGGUGUACUAUGUAAAAUGAAUUAUGUCAAACAGCGUUAUAGUGCUUAGUUAAUGUUUAGUUAAAGUAUUUAGAAUUUUGUGGUCGCCACUGUGAAUUUCAAUGUGUUACAAUGAAGAAUUAAUUACAAGCAGGGCGUAGUUGUAAUUGCGACAUGGCAUCCCGCAGAUGGUUUCACCCUAACAUAUCAGGAUUAGAGGCAGAACGUUUAUUAAUGGAACGAGGUUAUGAUAGUUCCUUUCUGGCACGUCCAAGUUCAUCCAAUCCUGGUGAUUUUACAUUAUCUGUAAGACGAAAUGGUGAAGUGACUCAUAUUAAAAUACAAAAUACAGGAGACUUUUAUGACCUUUAUGGAGGUGAAAAAUUUGCUACGUUAUCAGAACUUGUACAAUUUUACAUGGAAAAUGGUGGCCAGCUUCGUAAAAAAAAUGGAGAGAUAAUAGAGUUGAAAUAUCCUUUGAAUUGUGCUGAUCCAACAACUGAAAGGUGGUUCCAUGGCCAUUUAUCAGCAAAGGAAGCAGAAAGAUUGAUGAUGGAAAGGGGAAAAAAUGGAUCUUUUCUAGUUCGUGAAUCGCAGAGCAAACCUGGUGACUUUGUAUUAUCAGUUCGUACUGAUGACCGUGUUACACAUGUUAUGAUACGAUCUCAGGACAAUAAAUAUGAUGUGGGAGGAGGGGAUAAAUUUGACAGUCUUAGUGAUCUUAUAGAACAUUAUAAACGUAAUCCAAUGGUCGAAACAAGUGGAAGUGUUGUUCAUCUCAGACAACCAUUCAAUGCAACUCGUAUAAAUGCUAGUGGAAUUGAAAGCAGAGUUAGACAGUUACAUAAAGAAAACGGGUGUUCUAACGGAUUAUUAUGUCGAAAUGGCGCGACGGAUACUAAUGAAGGCAGUACAGGUCGUGGUAAAGGAAAAGCAGGCUUUUGGGAAGAAUUCGAAUCGUUACAACAACUAGAAUGUCGUCAUUUGUUUUCUAGGAAAGAAGGUUUAAGAUUAGAAAAUCGAGCUAAAAAUCGAUAUAAAAAUAUUUUACCAUUUGAUCACACGAGAGUACGCUUGAAGGAUGUUGAUCCUAAUGUACCUGGAUCAGAUUAUAUCAAUGCUAAUUAUAUCAGGAAUGAAGAAGGCGAUGGAGCUGUACCUGGUAUCAGUGGAAACGACGUUGGCCAGUUUAAUAAAUGUUAUAUUGCUACACAAGGUUGUCUUCCAAAUACCAUUGGAGACUUUUGGCACAUGGUGUAUCAAGAAAACACUCGAGUAAUCGUUAUGACAACGAAAGAAAUGGAAAGAGGAAAAAACAAAUGUGCUCGAUAUUGGCCCGAAGAGGGAGAAAUUGCAGAAUAUGGAGGCACAUGGAAAGUUCAUGCUCUUUCUUGUACUGUAACAGCAGAUUAUACUUUACGUGAAUUUUUAUUACAAGGAAACAAGCCAAACUUCAUGGUUGCCAGAAGAAUAUUCCAUUACCAUUUUCAAGCAUGGCCUGAUCAUGGUGUACCAUCAGAUCCUGGUUGUGUUUUAAACUUUCUUCAUGACGUAAAUGCUAGACAAGAAUUGAUAGCUGCAGCUGUUGCAUCAAAUACUCAAAAUGCACCAAGCAUGGGGCCGAUUCUUGUACAUUGUAGCGCUGGAAUAGGAAGAACUGGAACUUUUAUUGUUAUUGAUAUGAUUUUGGAUCAAAUUAAACGCCAUGGUCUCGAUUGUGAGAUUGAUAUUCAACGAACGAUUCAAAGAGUACGUUCUCAGAGAUCAGGUAUGGUACAGACUGAAGCACAAUAUAAAUUUGUUUAUCUCGCGGUCUUACAUUACAUUGAGACUGUAUCUCAGAGAAUGCAAGCUGAACAGAAAUCACUUCAGUUAGGUCGUGAAUAUACUAAUAUCCGAUUACGACGGUAUUGAAUGUUAAGAUCGUGUAGCGAAUACGACGAGGAAUGAGCCGCGGGAAGCUGCUCAAACCAAUGCUCUCAUCGCAGAAAAGUAAAUGUUUUAAAAAUGUUUCAUCAAUGAAUGGUCUCGACUUAUAACUAGUCGUGAAUUUCAUCAAAACGAGCUUAUUCCUAGUCCAACGUUUAAUAUUUUCUGAAGCUAAGGAAAUAAGUAUAAAAGCUUAUAUUCGUUGAAGAAAAAUAGAAGAAGUCAGCAAAGUAAAGUGUGUGUGUUCUACGAGAAAGAUAAACGAUGAUGGAGGCCAAGUAUACAAUGAUUCACUACAGGAAUUUAACCUUGACAGAGAUUAUAAACGAAAUUAUAAUACGUUUCGUAGAAUUGAAAAGAUCGGAUGGCUUAAAUAUCUGAAUUUAAUUAAAAACCUCCCGAAUAAAUAAUCUUACAGAAAAGGAUCGUCUAUUAUCUGCGAAGAAAAUCUGUAUUCUGGAGUUUUAAUUGUCGUCGUUCCGUGUUUAUUUGUGCUUAAAUUACGAAAGUUUUCUAAUUCGCACUUGGAAUGACCGCCAUUUGUAUCACGCUUUCAUUAAAACAAAAUGUGCGCGAUUUUGUCCAGCAUUGCCAACCUAAUUUUAUCGUUAAUCGAUAAUAAUGUUGGUACGCAUUACUCUUUGUUAUUAUCGAUAAUAUUUCGAUUAUCAGAAGAAACGUAUCGACAAAUGUUUACCUAAAUCGAAAAUAAUUUGGAGAAAUAUUAGUUUAGUAAAUUUCGGCGAAUUAUAGGAGGUUUUAUUACUUGUGUCAUAAUAUUUUCUUUACAAUAAAUUGAUUACCUUGUAGAGUAUAUGUACAUUUAUGUAUGUAUGUAUACUUUAUUUAUUCGAAAUUAUGAUACAAGUAAAAUGUGAUUAUGUGCUUAGUUACAUAAGUACGGACAAUACAUAACAUCCUGUAAAGAAUAAUGCUUCCUAUGGGAAGAAAAUAAUCAGAUUAUUGAAAAUAAGAACUAGGAUUGCAUAAAUAAGACAAAUUUAUCAAGAAAUUACAUAUAUAUAUAUAAUAUUUGAAGCAGCAAACAACUAUUCACCAGUAUCAUAAUGGUUAGUCUAUUAUACAUCUAUUGUUCAUAUUGUACCAUAGUAUAUAUUUUAAAGAUAAAAGUUAUAUAUGGUUUAUGAACUACAGGAUAGCAAUCCUUAUUAAAAAAUUUAAUACUUUCAUUAUAAAAUAUACAAUCUUGAUGCAAUUGUUUUUUUUAUGCUGCUAAUACUCUUAUAUUUAUGUCGUAUACAUAGAUUAUGAGAUAAAUUCAACUUUAUUAAUUGGAAAUUCAUUUGCAAAAAUUUUAUGAAUCUCAAAUUAUAUAAAAUUUUGAAUAUUGAUUUUAUAAAUUAACUGAUAAUUUUAAUAACAUAAUAAAUAAUGUCUUUUAAAAAUAAUAAAUGAAUGAAGACAGGUAUAAGUAUUAAUUUCAUAUAAAAAAAAAAGACAUCUAAAGAUUUUUGUGAGUGGAAAGUUUUACAAAAUCCAAUUACUAUUGCAUAAUAACUAAGACAAAUUUUUACAAUUUUGAUUAUAUUAUUAUUAUAUAGAUAUACUUUUUUUUACUAUGACUGUAUAGUUCUAUAUAGAUAUUUUUUAAUAACAGUUAAGAUUGAUUUUAUCAUUAAAGUUUUUAUUAUGUGCUUUCAAAUCGAAGCAUAAAAGUUUGCCCAAUUGAAUAAUAGCCUGAAUUAGCUUUAUGAGGCAAAAUAUAUAAAGAUGUGAUACAUCAUUUAAAUAUCUUUUAUUGUUUAACAUCUAUGGACUUAUUAAUUAAUAUAAAAUAUCUUAUACGCACAUAUGACAAUGCUGCUUAAAAAUUCUAGCUUUUCUUUUUAAUUUAUUGUACUUGAGUGUAUGUUUGUCAAAAGUUUAAAUAUGUAUACACAUUCUACAGUAAUGAUGUACUUUAUUUAAUAGUUGUCAAAAUAUUAAUAUCUAAAGAAUUCUUGGUACCAUAUAUAAACAUUUGAUAGAUCCUAUCUUAAUAUAAACAUUUAAUAAAAAUUUUAAUAUAAGAAGUAUGUUCUUUUAUAAUUCCAAUGUUAGUAAUUGAUUAUUAUUGAUCUUAAAUCAUAAAUGUAUAAUAACUUUAUAGCUCAAUGAAUACUUGUAAAUUUAAAUCUUUUUAUGGAUUAUAUUAAAAUGUACAUUUAUAUACUUAUUAGUUAUAAUCUUUUUAUUUUUAUUUUUAAUGCAAUAACACGCUUUCUUAUCAUUUUUUAUCAAUGUGUUGUUAUAGUUAUUCAAUGAAUUAAGUUAAAUAUUUACAUUACAAAUUAAAAUCAAUACAUCAUUUUGUAGAAAGUUUGAUAAAUUCUGAUUGUCAAUAUUAUAGUAUGUAGUAUGUAUAUGUCAUUAUAACUAACAUAAAUUUCAUGAUCCUGUAAAUUUGUAUACAAGAGAACAUAUAAUUCGUAAACAAGUUGUUUCUUCACAAAAUAUAUAAAAAAAUUAAAUCACAUAAGAAAAAUUAUCAAAAUAUCAAAUCCUUCUUUUUCAAAUGUCUUAAAAUGUUUCAAAGUAUAUCAGUUAGUAAUAUCAAAAGAAGAUAAUUAAAUAGUUAAAAAAAAAAAAUAAAACUGUAUUGUCCUAAACUCUCUCUAAUUACUGAAGCACAUUUAUUUAAACUGUAGAAUAAAAUAACAAAUGAAUAUAUGAAUGUAAA